GCUCAGAUUGAACGCUUGCGGCAGGCCUAACACAUGCAAGUCGAGCUGUAGCACAGAGAGCUUGCUCUCGGGUGACGAGCGGCGGACGGGUGAGUAAUGUCUGGGAAACUGCUGAUGGAGGGGGAUAACUACUGGAAACGGUAGCUAAUACCGCAUAAUGUCGCAAGACCAAAGUGGGGGACUUUCGGGCAUCAUGCCAUCAGAUGUGCCCAGAUGGGAUUAGCUAGUAGGUGGGGUAACGGCUCACCUAGGCGACGAUCCCUAGCUGGUCUGAGAGGAUGACCAGCCACACUGGAACUGAGACACGGUCCAGACUCCUACGGGAGGCAGCAGUGGGGAAUAUUGCACAAUGGGCGCAAGCCUGAUGCAGCCAUGCCGCGUGUGUGAAGAAGGCCUUCGGGUUGUAAAGCACUUUCAGCGGGGAGGAAGGCGUUAAGGUUAAUAACCUCGUCGAUUGACGUUACCCGCAGAAGAAGCACCGGCUAACUCCGUGCCAGCAGCCGCGGUAAUACGGAGGGUGCAAGCGUUAAUCGGAAUUACUGGGCGUAAAGCGCACGCAGGCGGUCUGUCAAGUCGGAUGUGAAAUCCCCGGGCUCAACCUGGGAACUGCAUUCGAAACUGGCAGGCUAGAGUCUUGUAGAGGGGGGUAGAAUUCCAGGUGUAGCGGUGAAAUGCGUAGAGAUCUGGAGGAAUACCGGUGGCGAAGGCGGCCCCCUGGACAAAGACUGACGCUCAGGUGCGAAAGCGUGGGGAGCAAACAGGAUUAGAUACCCUGGUAGUCCACGCCGUAAACGAUGUCGAUUUGGAGGUUGUGCCCUUGAGGCGUGGCUUCCGGAGCUAACGCGUUAAAUCGACCGCCUGGGGAGUACGGCCGCAAGGUUAAAACUCAAAUGAAUUGACGGGGGCCCGCACAAGCGGUGGAGCAUGUGGUUUAAUUCGAUGCAACGCGAAGAACCUUACCUGGUCUUGACAUCCACAGAACUUACGCAGAGAUGGAUUGGU
Molecule: ribosomal RNA, 1002 nt
Filed under: Klebsiella pneumoniae subsp. pneumoniae
Lineage: Bacteria; Pseudomonadati; Pseudomonadota; Gammaproteobacteria; Enterobacterales; Enterobacteriaceae
Description: bacterial SSU rRNA
Rfam family: Bacterial small subunit ribosomal RNA
Source: RNAcentral